AGCCCCAAGCCACCCUUGCACAUUGCAGCCAGCCUGUUUAUCCUGCCCUCCGCUCGGCUCGCGUGACCCCUGCAGGGGAAGGGGAUGGAAGGACACACCUCCGGAUAUUUGCCAGGGGGCCACCCCUUCCCUCUGGGCACCUCAUGGAGGGCGGGACAAACAGAGGAACUGGCCGUGUUUAUAAUGAUCAGGCCCCGGCUCCACCCUGGGACAGCUCCCAGCUCUGGCGGCUCCCUUGCCCGGCUCCCCGCCCCCACCGAGUCCCCAGGCCCCUGAGCAGCCCGGCUGCUGUGCCCUGUGCCGCCUUGGCUCCUGUCCCUGCCAACCAACCCACCUCGGGAGCUCACUGUGUGUCUGGGGGCCGGCCGCUCGGCCACUCUGUGCCUCGGUUUCCCCCUCUGUUAAAGACAAUAAUGCCAGUGCCUGCUUCCUGGAGUUCCUACAGGAGUCACAAGUGAGAACACGAGGCCCUGACCGCCUGGCCCGAAAGCAGCUGUGGGCAGCACUGACCUGAGCACCCACUGUGUGCCGGCCCCUCCUCUAAGCACCCUGCCCGGAGUCCCUCAUGUAAUCUGCACACGUGACCCACGAGGAAGCAGCCACUACGCGUUAACAGACAAGCCUUCGGCAGGACAAUCUGACGCAGAAAAGAUGUCCACAAACCAGUCCCUGCCACCAAAUGUGCCACACCGAGGCUCAGCUCUGGGACUUCCAUCACUACCACCACCACGAGGGUCCCGUGACCCUGUGCAGAUGCGGACGCGGAGCUCACGGACCCCCCAUGACCUCGGUGGGGCAGCUAUUCUCAUUCCCACUUCGCAGAUGUGGAAACUGAGGAUCACAAAGGUGAAAUCUCUUGCUCAGGUUACCAAGCAGAGCUGGGCCUAAAAGACAGGGGCAUCUACUACAGAGUCGACCUCCUUAAGCCUUCUGCUGGCCCCCAAGCCUCCUCCGUGUGGCCCCAUGGCCUGUACGAUUGGUCUGUCACCUCUGCCCCCUUGUUCACUCUGCCCCAGCCACAUGGGCCUCCUUGCUGUUCUUCAAACCCUAGACGUGUCCCCACCUCAGGGCCUUUGCACUGGCUGUCACCUCACCUGCUGGAACUUCAUUCUCCCUGAUCUGCACAUGGCUCCCUCCCUCCUCCCCACUACCCGGAGUCUGUGCUCAAAUAUCCCUGCUCCUGUCCCGGCUCCCUCUAUGCCUUUUUCUUUGCACCUGUCUUCUGUCUUGCUCCCCAGUGUACCCCGUCUACAACAUGGCCCCAGCCCACACUAGGCGCUCAAGGAACCUGUGGUGAAUGAACUGAUUCAUCUGUACCCACUACGCUACAGCCCUGCUUGGACACCUCUGACUCUGCCCGGGCGGUCCCUGGGGCACUCUGGCGGAGAUGUGCCUGGGACCCAGGGGCGGCGGGUGAAGCAGCAACGUCAGACAGAGGGAAUAGAGGAGGACAGCGUGCAGAUGCCUCUGAAGUCUAGGGUCUGAUCCCAAGAACGCAGGCCCAUUUUGCAUUCUACUCUCGUACGGUCAUUGCAAUUAAAGAAAGUCUUUUGAAUUAUUCAGCA
Molecule: long non-coding RNA, 1565 nt
Organism: Felis catus (domestic cat)
Lineage: Eukaryota; Metazoa; Chordata; Mammalia; Carnivora; Felidae
Exons: 2
Source: RefSeq, a predicted model, not a curated record